Molecule: ribosomal RNA, 372 nt
Filed under: uncultured archaeon
Lineage: Archaea
Description: bacterial SSU rRNA
Rfam family: Archaeal small subunit ribosomal RNA
Source: RNAcentral
CGUGGACGAUCAUGGUUGUUGGUGAGGUAACGGCUCACCAAACCGAUAAUCGAUAGGGGCCGUGAGAGCGGGAGCCCCGAGAUGGGUACUGAGACAACGACCCAGGCCUUACGAGGCGCAGCAGGCGCGGAACCUCCGCAAUACACGAAAGUGUGACGGGGUUACCCAAAGUGUUCAAUUUUGAACUGUGUUAGGUGAGUAAUGUUCCCUACUAGAAAGGAGAGGGCAAGGCUGGUGCCAGCCGCCGCGGUAAAACCAGCUCUUCAAGUGGUCGGGAUAAUUAUUGGGCUUAAAGUGUCCGUAGCCGGUUUAGUAAGUUCCUGGUAAAAUCGGGUAGCUUAACUAUCUGUAUGCUAGGAAUACUGCUAUACU